Molecule: long non-coding RNA, 11841 nt
Filed under: Capsicum annuum
Lineage: Eukaryota; Viridiplantae; Streptophyta; Magnoliopsida; Solanales; Solanaceae
Description: long non-coding RNA (CANN_LNC002319)
Source: RNAcentral
UUUGUUUACUUUUUAGCUUUCCAAAUAUCAUCUCAUCCAUCUCCAUUUCCAAUAUCAUCUCUUGCAGCUCCAUUUUCUCCUUCUUUUUGCCUUUCCGAGAUUUCACUCCCUACGCACUUCACACCAAAACGCAAGCUUCAAAAAAAUCUGUUCUCAGCUGAUUUCACUUGGAUUUUGCUGUUGAAUUUUAUGUUGUACGUUCUGUAGCUGAAAUAAAAUAUAAAAGAUUUGUAUAGUAAGAUUUUAAUCGGUUUGUUGCGGUUAUUUUUUUUGUUUAUUGUUGUAUGUUUAUCUGUUGCGACUGAGCCGAUGUUUAAUCAUAAUUUUGCUGUUAAUUUGUUUAUCAGUUGCUAUUGAGCCGAUGUUUAAUUGUAACUUUGCUGUUCAAUUUUAUGUUUAUGUGGUAUGUUUUGAAGUUAAAAUAGAUAUAGAAAAUUUGCAUAGUAGGAUUAUAAUCAGUUUGUUACGGUUAAUUUUUGUUUAUUGUUGAAUGUUUAUCGCCUGCUAUUUAGCCGGUGUUUAAUCAUAAUUUUGCUCUUAAUUUUUUUUCAGUUGCGAUUGAGCCGAUGUUUAAUCGUAAUUUUGUGUUUAUGUUGUAUGUUUCUCCAGUUGAUAUAGAUAUAGAUACUUUAUAUAGUUGGAUUCUAUUUGGUUUGCGAUUAAGCCGUUGUUUGAUCGAAAUUUUGCUGUUUAUUUUAUGUUCAUGUUAUAUAUUUCUCAGUUGAAAUAAAAGAUUUAUAUAGUCAGGUUUUAACUGGUUUUGGAAAGGAUAGUCGAGGGAGAGGAGAAAAGAGAGGGGAAUAAGGCUUGGUUUAGCAGCCUUUGUUUUCUAUGGUGUGUUGGUUGGGAGAGCUGCAAUGUAUGAUAUGAUGAUUGUUUACGCUUGUUAUCUCGCUAUUAUAUUUGGAUUGGCGUGCACGCUUGUACUGUUAGCUGUUUGUCGACAUGCCUUGCCAACAUGCCUAUAUCCAUUGCUUUGCGGGAUAUCUUUUACUUCUUAACAAGGUUUGUUGUUAUAGAGCCAUUUGUUGUUGGCACUUCGACAAGUCUUUUGAUGUUUUGACCCCUGAUAUGUGGAGAAUGAAGAAAUUAGAAAGUAUAGGAUAUAUUCAGCUAUAACACAUAUAUUUUGCUUUAGCAAAAAAUUAAUUGCUUUCGGUACACCCUUGUUUGAAGGUUCUGAAUAGGAAAGAGACAGCUCAACUCAACUGAAAUAACAAUCUGUAAAACUGAACACUGUUUGAAAACUAGCCUGAAAAACCUCUAACUGAAACUGUCUGAAAUUGGAGUUGAUGGGACAAUCCCCCAACUAACUCCAUCUACUGAAAUACCGAGUCUACUGAAAUAAUGAAACAAAAGAACAUCCUCAAAUGAUGAGGACUCACUGCUAAUCUACUGCUGCUAGCUGAAUCUGAAUCAUUCUAUGCACGGUCGAGAACCUGUGCAUCCGAGCCUAUGAUAAGAGACAUCAUAGCGCAAAUAAAGAGUGUACUGAAUGUAUUGGUAUGCUAGAUGAGGUAAAGUUGAAUCCACGAGUUCAUAUGCAUGAACAAAAUUGUCUGUAUGAUAUAGAGUAACUGAACAUGAAAGUACAUGGAUAAUUGAUACUAUUGUAAAUACUGAGUAUGACUACUGUGCAUAUAAAUAAAUACUGUGACUAAGCUUAUCUGAGUCCUGAGUUCAGAUACUGAGUAACUGAUAUCUAAAGUUACUGAUAACAGAUUUAUUGAUACUGGUUGACUGUAUCUAACAGUCCUGAUUUUGUAGAACUGAAUCGAGUUCUAUUUUGAAGACUGAAACUGAGACUGAGAGGUAAUCAUUUAACUGACAUGCCUCAAAUAAGAUAACUGAGUUGGGAUCCACCUGUGACCCCAAAUAAAAGGGUGUCAGUACUGUGCCACGGGUAAAGACACUGAAGAGUUACUCUUAUCUGGCAGGUAUUCUAAUGAGAACGGUGGAACCUUCAUCUGACAGGUUAAAACACCUCAUCAACGCUCAACUAGCAGGUUUGAUGUCUCAACCUACACUGGCUAUAUAGUUCUGGAACGCAAGGAUUGCUUUUAGAGAUCACACCCUCUACUAGCAGGUGAGCCCUCAUCCUUGGAUUUACUCGGUGCUGAAUCCUACUCCCAAUUGAAAGACACUGAACUGAGUAUAUUGAACUAGACUAGACUGAUACUGAGCUUACUGAGUUUUCCUAAGUUUGAUAACUGACUGAGUACUAUUGAUCGUGACAUGACUGAGAUUCUGUAACUGACACUGACUCAAGGUACACAGCUAAAUUGUCGGGUAUUAAUACCCCCAAGACUCGGUAGCAUGAAAAAUAAAGCAUAAUAUACUCUUGAAAAUCAUAACAAUGUAUACUUGUCCAUAGUUCACUCAUAAAGGCAUUUAAUCAAACACUUGUAAUACAUCUACUUAUAUAUGAAUGGGGAAUACAUGCUAUCAUGUUAUAAUGACACUUAUUUCAUUCACAUAAAUAUUUUAUCCAACACAGCAUGCUUAGGUUAUACAAUAAUCAAAACAUAGUCAUCAUAGCUACAUCAAUCAACUUGCAAAUUGAAGGGUUUAUCAUGAAGAUCAUGUAAUUCAACACAUACAGUGAUUAAUUUCAUAAAAGCAUGUAAUUUAAUCAUAGACUAAAACCCAACAAUAACAUGAACAUGAAUUCAGUUCAGUUCAAGCAUGAAGGUUCAUAAUUUAACAGUCUUGUAUUUUAAAAACGGAUUCGUGAACUCUAUGGGUGAAAGGAACCCAUAGAUGAACACGUAACAUACCUUAAUUUGUGAGUUUCUUUAAGUUCUUGGUGAAUUCUUUGAGAUUACUCUUGGUUUCUUGAAGCUAGGGUUUGUAGUUUUGAGAGAGAAUGCUUUUUAAUUCGGGGAUAAAUUGAGUAAGUAAUGACUUAAAAUAUUUCUAGGGAUUAAAUCCUGCAUCUGAGUGUAUUAAAUCAUGAAAAAGACAGUUUUAACCCUGGACGAAAGAUUUAAUUUUCGUCAAAAUUUUCCAAAAUAGGCACCUGGCGCGACACGAUGCUAUCGCGCUUGUCUCUGAAAAUUGCCAACUGGGAAAAUGCAUGGGCGCGACGCGCUGGCAUCGCGGUACCUCACUGGAAACUGACAAUUGCCAUUUUGACAUACUCCGUGAUGCGCUACUGGCCUGAAUGACGAUGUUUAACGAUUGAAACUUAAAAUAGCCAUAACUUCUCACCCGGUUAUCGGAUUUAGGUGAAUUUUAUUUCAUUGGAAAGCUAAUUCAAUUUCAUACGCAAUGGCAGGCUCUAAACUGAAAAAUACUAAGAGUUUAAAAUUUUUUAUAUUGGAUAACUCAUGAACUAAGAGUUAAGUUAAACUUGAGAAAUACAGGGUAUUAUAAUAUCUCCCCCUUGGGAACAUUCAUCCUCGAAUGAGACUGAUUAAGCUGAGACACUGAUAGACUGAGUUUAUACACUGAACAUGCAUAUCUGAUGCAUGAAUUUAUGACUGAAGCUACUGACAAGUUGGGUUUUCAUACUGAACAUGCACAUCUGAUGCAUGAGUACAUUACUGAACUGAUUCAUGAAUGCAUGACUGAGUAUGCAACGGUAAUAGAUAACAAGUUAUGAUUAUAGCUGAACAUGGAACUGAGUAAAGCUAAGGAAGACUGUUACCUUAAGCUGGAUCUAAGGUUGCGGAGAAGAGGUAAGGAUACUUGGUCCGUAUAUUUGCUUCUGCUUCCCAAGUAGCUCCCUCAACGGACUAAUUUCGCUAAAGAACUUUGACUAAGGGAACUUCUUUGUUCCCCAGUCUGCGAAUCUGAUAAUUGAGAAUCUGGACUGGAACCUCUUCGAAAGAGAGAUUGUUCUGAAUAUUUACGUCCUCUAAUGUAACUAUGGCUACUGGGUCACCAAUGUAUUUCUUUAGCAAGGAGACGUGGAAUAUUGGGUGCACUGAGGCUAGAUCUGAAGGCAACUCAAACUUAUAAGAUACUUUUUCGAAAUAGCUGAGAAUUUUGUAAGGGCUGACAUAUCUAGGACUGAGCUUUCCCUUCUUGCCGAACCUCUUUACCCCCUUAAUGGGAGAGAUUUUCAAGAAAACAGAAUCAUCAAUAUCAACUCGAGAUCAUUUACUAGACACGCAUGAACGGGAAUGCAAGGACAAAACUGAGCCUGAAACGUGAUACAUGAAUUGAAUAUCAUGAACUGAACUGAUUCCUUGAAUACAUGCCAUGCCAUGGGAAUGGUCAUACGGCUGAGAUAGGAACGAGAGAGUCAACUUAUGAGUACUCACUACUCCAAAUGGGGUCUUGUUACGUGAAGAGAAAUUGGAAGGUUUAGGAUAUGGAGGCUCGCGGGUUAUAGUGCAUCCCCCCCUUGGGACAUUAUGUCCCUCGAAGAAUGUUGAUUUAGUUGGGAUUCCAAGGAAAUUGAAAUGAUGCACAGGGCACCUUCGAACUAAUUUGUGACUGAAUAUCUGGGAUCUGAAACUGAGGCAUGACACAUGAACUAGCUGAAUACGCAAAUAAUUGGUUGCUCUAUCUGGGAAUGGUUACAUUCAUGAGACUUCAGAUAGUACGACUAGAUGGAAAUAUGGGAAACAUAUGAACUUGUCCGCCUGACUAAUAAGCUGAAUUGCUAGAUGUACGGACAAUCUCAUGCUGAAAAUUUAUACUCAACUGGAGCAUUUCUUGACACUCUUUCUAUAAAGUUCUACAACUUUAGAGAGCAAAGAAAUCUUGGCAUGGUCUGAAUACGAUAUCUGGAUAAUAAGUCACAUCAUGGCUAUAAUUCUGUAAUAUGGGGCGAGGCCUAUGAAACGUCAUCUAAUACAGAGUUACUAUGCCUUAUGCACUGAAACUACUAGCUUGCCAUUCUAGCCACUUUUCUCAACUAUUCCCUCAACUGUAAUUUCUACUUCAACACCGCAUUUUACUUAGGGCUACUAAAAAUAUUCGCAUGGGCACUAAGCACAAAUGCGUAAACAUACUAACUUAUUUGAUUAACUGAAUGACUGAUAGUUGGAUGCUGGUCAUGUAAGAUUGUACUGUACUUAACCUGAAUAACUGGACUGAAACUAUAAAGUACUAUACAUUUGAGGUAAGGGCUAACUGAGGAAUAUGAGGUAACUGAGCAUGAAUUCAUGAAAAUGGUAUUAUCUAGGAAUGCAAGACUACGUGCAUGACAUGAUUCUAAAAUACUGAGUUACUAACAACUGAAUAACUGAUAACUGUACGCGUUGGUCAAGCAAACCUGAAACUGGACUGAGUCUGGAACUGAAUGCUGAACUGAACACACUAUAAAGCAUGAGUCUAUGCAUCAUGAGAUGCAUGACCUGAGUUUGGAGUUUCUAUUUUCAUAGAACAUGAUUCAAAACACUGAGUGAACUGGAAUUCCUUAUACUAGGAACUAUAAACUUUCAUGAUAUUCGUGGAUGUGCACGAAUAUGGGCUUGGAUCGUAGAGCUGACAUAUACUGUAUGAGUAGAUAUCUAUAUUGUGAUAGCUGAAGUGCAAAACUUUGCACUGAGGUAAGGAUGGGUUGGGCAUCAACCUCUCCCACUGUUUUUCUACAUAUAUUAGCAUUACUACUAAAAUCUAAAAGCCUUACUUGGUUACCUGUGCUACCAUCUCCCCCUUAACUUAAAGCCGUUAUUCUAAGAUCGUGAGACACUUAAUAAACUCUAAAUCAAACGGAAACCACUUUACUCCAGAGUCUGAGAUAUUACAAUUCUCAUAAACACUAAACUCAUUCUGAAGGACUACUCCUGAUGAUGUAAGGUCCACUGUUAGUACUUCCUUCUGAUACAUAAUUCUUAGCUUUCUAGUGCCCCAAAAAUAAUCAUAUAACAACCUCAACACUAACUAACUUAGAAUUCUCAACUUCUGUUUCUACUAGUUCAAUCUAGAGAUUUAAACUUAGAUCAACUGAAACUAAGGUACUACCCCUUCAUUCAAUGAUUAGUACAUCAGAAAACUGAAACAGAACGACUCUAUGACUGAAAUUAGCUGAGGGGAUUUUCUAAAAUACUGUAAUCAAGCAAUCUCUGUAUACUCAUCUGGCUAGAGCGGAUUUAUCUACUGAGGUAAGCACUAAGAAAGGUCCUAUCAGGAUUUUCUAGUCUGACUUAAAGUUGACUGUCAUGCAAGGAGUUAUAACAGACAGAGAAGCUCCUGGAUCUAAUAAGGCAUGAAUAUGUAAAUAGAAUAUCUUUAACAUACCAGUGACCACAUCCGGAGAAUUUUCCUGAUCUUGUCUGGACUGAAGAGCAUAAAGCCUGUUUGGGCGUUGUCCAUUGGUGGCACUGGAAGCGGCACCUUGCUGAUUCGAGCGACUUGACUGAGCUGAAGGAUGAUUAUACUGACCCUGAAAACCUGACUAAGGAUAAUUUCUGACUUUGUGGCCUGGCUUGCCUGGCUGAUGAUUAUAGGCAUCUAACUCAGCACUCUCACUGAAAGUCACUCCCAUAAUAUUUAUGACUUUUUGAACUUGAUCGAGGAACUCCUAUGGAUCCUCUUUUGACUUAGAUACCGAGAAUAGGGGAGGAUUCAUUUAGGUGAAGUCCCGAAUCCUGGAUGCAGCAGUAUUGGCCACUGGAUUGGCCGAAAAAGUAGAUAGCCUUUCAUUUUGAGAUGCUACGGAGUUGGAUAGAGUAGUGAAUACAACUCUGAAUUCUGCAUGGGAGACAUGCUUGUCCAAGGGAUUUACCUAAAUGGGCUGAGGUGCUAACUGAUUUUCGGUUCUCCUUUCGUAAGUCUUUUUGGGAGGAAUGUUUUGUAAAUGAAAAGGAGGAAAUGAAUUAAACUGAAAAUUUAACUUGAGAUCAUGCUCACUCACACGACAUGAAUACUAAAAGAAGGAAAACUAUUUCCUAAAACAUCUCAUAGCCUCAUGUCCGUAAGUGUGGCACGCUACACACCCAUGUACAAGACUCUACUAGAUACAACUAUCAGACUUUCUAGGAUAUUGUUAAAACUUAGGCGCUGAUACUAAGUUUGUAAUGUGCCGAGUCUGUACCCUGGAUGCUACACGAUGCUUACGACCCCGAAGGACCACAAGUUAACCCUUGACUGAUAUCUGCUGUGAGGACUGAAACAUGAUACUGUAGUAAAUGCAGAAUAAUAGGCUAAAAUGCCAAAAGGUUCAAAAUUUGUAAAUACUGAUAACGUGUAUCAACUAAAAUAAUAAUCUGUAAAAUUAAACACUGUUUGAAAACUAGUCUAAAAAGCCUCUAAUUGAAACUGUCUAAAAGUGGAGUCAAUGGGACAAUCCCUCAACUAACUCCAUCUAUUGAAAUACUGAGUCUACUGAAAUAAUAAAAUAAAAGAGCAUCCUCGAAUGAUGAGGAAUCACUGCUAAUCUACUGCUGCUGGCUGAAUCUGAAUCUAUCUAUGUCCGAUCAGAAACUUGAGCGUCCGAACCUAUGAUAUGAGACAUCAUAGCACAAGUAAAGAGUAUGCGUCAGUACAUGGAAUGUACUGGUAUGCUAGAUGAGGUAAGACUGAAUACAAGGGUUCAUAUGCAUGAACCAUAACUGACAGUAUGAUAUAGAGUAACUGUACAUGAGAGUACAUGGAUAACUGAUACUACUAUCAAUACUGAGUAUGGAUACUGUACAUAUAAAUUAAUAUUGUGACUAAGCUUAUUUGAAGCUAAGUCCUGAGUUCUGAUACUGAGUAAUUGAUAUCUGAAGUUACUGACAACUGAUUUACUGAUGCUAGUUGACUGUAUCUGAUAGUCCUAAUUCUGUAGAACUGAACCGAAUUCUAUUCUAAAGACUAAAACUAAAACUAUGAGAGGUAAAUAUCUAACCGACAUGUCCCAAAUAAGAUAACUGAGUUGGGGUUCAACCUGUGACCCCAGUUGGAAGGGUGUCAGUACCGUGCCACGGGUAAAGACACUGAAAAGUUACCUUCAUCUGGUAGGUACUCUAAUGAGAAUGGUGGAACCCUCAUCUGACAGGUUAAAAUACCUCAUCAACUCUCAACUAGCAGGAUUGAUGUCUCAACCUACGCUGGUUACAUAGUUCUGGAACGCAAGAAUUUGUUUCUAGAGAUCACACCUUCUAUUGGAAGGUGAGCCCCCAUCCUUGGGUCCACUCGGUACUGAAUCCUACUCCCAACUGAAAGACACUGAACUGAGUAUACUGAACUGGACUGGACUGAUUCUAAGCUUACUGAGUUUUCCUGAGUUCGAUAACUAACUGAGUUCUAUUGAGUUCUGUAACUGACUGAGAGUACUACUGAUCGUGACAUGACUGAGAUUUUGUAACUGACACUGGCUUUAGGUAAACAGCUAAAUUUUUGAGUAUUAAAUACCCCCAAGACUCGAUAUCAUAAAAAAUAAAGCAUAAUAUACUCUUAAAACUCAUAACAAUGUAUACUUGUCCAUAGUUCACUCAUAGAGGCAUGUAAUCAAAUACUUGUAAUGCAUCUACUUAUACAUGAAUGGGGAAUACUUGCUAUCAUGUUAUAAUGACACUUAUUUCAUUCACAUAGGAAUUUUAUCAAACACAUGGGGAGCAUGCUUAGGUUAUACAAUACUCAAAACAUAUAGUUAUCAUGGCUACAUCAAUCAACUUGCAAAUUGAAGGGUUUAUCGUGAAGAUCAUGUAAUUCAACAUAUACAAUGAUUAAUUUCAUAAAAGCAUGUAAUUUAAUCAUGGACUAAAAUCCAACAAUAACAUGAACAUGAAUUCAAUUCAAUUCAAGCAUGGAAGUUCAUAAUUCAACAGUUUUAUAUUUGUAAAAUGGAUUCGUGAACUCUAUGGGUGAAAGGAACCCAUAGAUGAACACCUAACAUAUCUUAAUUUGUGAGUUUCUUUAAGUUCUUGGUGAAUCCUUUGAGAUUGCUCUUGGUUUCGUGAAGCUAGAAUUUGUAGUUUUGAGAGAGAAUGCUUUUAAUUUGGGGAUAAAUUGAGUGAGUAAUGACUUAAAAUGCUUUUAGGGAUUAAAUCCCAUAUCUGGGCGUGUUAAAAUCAUGAGAAAAGACUGUUUUAACCUGGACAAAAUAUUUAAUUUCUGUCGAAUUUUUUUGAAAUAGGCACCUGGCACGACGUGGCGCUAUCGCGCCAUGUCUCUGGAAAUCGCCAACUGGAAAAUACAUGGUGGCGUGACGCGGUGGUAUCGCGUUGCCACUUUGGUUGGGACCUGAAAGUUUACCACGACGCGGUAAAAUUGCGUUGGUACACUGAAAAUUGACAAAUAUGAAAACAAGCUAUGGUGCGAUGCGCCGGCAUCGCGGUACCUCACCGGAAACUGAUAAUUGCCAUUUUGAUAUACUCCGCGAUGUGCUAGUGGCCUGAAUAAUGGUGUUUAACGACUGAAACUUAAAAUAGCCAUAACUUCUCACCCGUUUAUCGGAUUUAGGCGAAUUUUAUAUCGCUGGAAAACUAAUUCAAUUUUCUACGCAAUGGCAGACUCUAAACUUAAAAAUACUAUGUGUUUCAAAAAUUUUAUAUUGAAUAACUCAUGAACUGAGAGUUAAGUUAAGCUUGAGAAAUAUGGGGUAUUGCAUUAAUCCCUUUUCUUCGGAAUAAAUUGAACCCUUACCUAGAAUCUAAACUAGUUCAUAGACUAAAACACAAGUUAUACAUGUUAAUAAAUAAAUAGGUUUCCUUAUUUUCCUUAAAAAUUAGGUGGCAACUCUGUAUAACAUUUAUUCUUUUAGAGUCCAUAAUGUCGUGCUCGUUUUGACCUUAGGUAAAAAUCGGGUUUAACAGUUUGGUGACUCUACUGGGGAUUCAAGUUUCUAACCAUUAUAGAUUUAGGUAAUUAUUUACGUUUUUAUACAUUGUUAUUUGUUUUAUACUAAUUUUCUUGAUUUAUCAUAUUUAUUUGACUUAAAUUAUUUAUUUGUUAUUAUUUUAUAGAUUGUUUAUUUGUUUAUCGCUUUAUAUAAAUUGUCAUUCCGUUCAUAUUUCCUCCAUUUUGGAAAACUGACACUCACAUAUAUUGUACAUGCGGAUUGUACAUUGUACUUUCCCCAAUUUUUUUCAAAUCACCUUAUUUUAGAGAGUUGGUGUACACGUGGGGUGAGCAAGAUUUUUACUGUCGUGGGACUACGUGCCCUCUCAUAUAGUAAAUCCAAGUCCGUGUCUACCCACUCUCAGUUAGCAUAGAAUAGAGCUACAAUAACACCUUUUUAGGUACAUGCAUUGUUAGUCAAUUUUAUCUAAAUGUUCGAAAGGUUUACGAUCCAGGUGACACAUUAUCAUAGUUUCUGUACAUAUUUGAAGAAUAAUUUUGCCUAUUUGCUAUCAAUUGGUUAUACUUUAGUGAGAAGGUGUGAUCUAACCUUUGUUUUGCAGUGCGGAUUAGUUAAAAAAUGCACCUUAGCUGUUUAUAAGUUUGAAUUACGUUUUGACCUGAUUCUUGUCCUGAUAAGAUACGUAGGCAACCCUACAUUAGGGUUCAAUCUCUUCACUGUUUUAGAAUAAUUUCUCCGUUACUCAAAACUGGGGCAAUUUUCUAGAAUAUAGUUCAAAGAUGCUCCCCAGAAGCCUUUAAGAGCGCAAAUUAAUAGCUCUUUAAAUUCAAAUUUCAUUAUCAUUAGUGUCUAGUCGGCCUACUUCCAAAUCCUCACCCAAUUUUGGUGUGAGAAUACCUAACUUGUUCUUUCGAAUGCUAUAAAUUAUUAAAUUUUUGGCGUAUCAAUUCUCACUUUCAAAAGCAAGGGUUCAAUACUUUUUCAGUUAUAACAAUUUUGUCAAUUGCGGCGAAAUAAUGUCGUAAUUUCUUCAAUGUCUGACUUUUUCAAUCUUGUCAGUAUGUUGAAGUAGUGUCAAAUCUCUCCCUAUGCAUGACAUUCAUUCUCUCGAUCAUUUAGUCAAAACAAUUUUGAUGUUAAAAGCAGUUCUUUCCUGAUCGUCUUUCAUAUUAUUUUUAAGAAUGACCAUUAUUUUUCUUACAAUUAUAUCAUUACACAUACUAAUUCAUAAAUUUGUUUGAACUACGCAGACCUAAGUAUGAUUCUUGAUGAACAUACUGAUUCUUGAUGAUAUGAUCUUGAUUAUGAGUAUGAUUGUGAGUACUUGACUUGUGUAAAUUCAAUGGUGGUAAUUGAUGAUAGUCAUAAACUUGACAAGUGACUGUUUAUGCGGAAUGUGGUAAAUCAUGAAUGUUGAUGAGUUGUUUAUAUGACUAUAUGCUUGGUGAUUUGAUCUUUAAUGCACUCUCCGAUGGUAUGAAAAGCGUGAUGAGUUCUUUACUUUAUAUUCUCUUGUGUGUACUCCCAGGUGGUAUGGGAUGCCAUGGUGAGUUCCUUUACGUUAUGCUUAUAAAUUUGUUUGUAUGACACCUUGAUCUUAUGCCAUUGUGAUGGUACUAAUGUUGCUUUGCUAUUUUAGAUUAUUUACUUCUUAUAUAAUGGUAUUGACACGUGAUGAAUUGAUAAGUUGUAGUAUUGUUCUAGUUUGAUUAUUGAUUAUAUAUAGUAAUGAUCAAGAUGAUUCGGGUUCAAUUUUGUACCUUGACUUAGAGAUAUUGUCUUACUUUAUAUCAUCUUCAUAUCAUGAUUUAGCUCAGUUGGCCGAUGAUACCCACUGAGUAUCCAUUGUUUUGGUACUCAUAUUACACUCACUAUACCCUUAUGGUGCAGACCCGAGUACUAGUUGUCGCCACUGAAUUGAGUUCAUGCUGCAUUGAUCUUUCGGAGACAGGGUGAGCUCUUGGAGAUUUGAGUCGCCUGUUUCCCUCUUGUCUUUAUUCAGUCUUUUGCAUUCGAGACGAAUGUAUAGAUUAUUUUAGACUAUAUGAGUUGUAUCCUUCUAUUGUCAAACUUAGAUACUUUUAUACUAAUACUACCUAGUCGUGGGACUGGUAAUUGUUUUAUGGAUUGUCUUAUUUUAAAGUAGAACGCUAUUGUGU